AAUCAACGCUGGCGGCGUGCCUAACACAUGCAAGUCGAACGAGAAAGUGGAGCAAUCCAUGAGUACAGUGGCGCACGGGUGAGUAACACGUGACUAACCUACCCUGGAGUGGGGGAUAACUGAGGGAAACCUUAGCUAAUACCGCAUAAUACCUACGGGUCAAAGGAGCAAUUCGCUUCAGGAGGGGGUCGCGGCCGAUUAGUUAGUUGGCGGGGUAAUGGCCCACCAAGACAGUGAUCGGUAUCCGGCCUGAGAGGGCGCACGGACACACUGGAACUGAAACACGGUCCAGACUCCUACGGGAGGCAGCAGUGGGGAAUUUUGCGCAAUGGGGGAAACCCUGACGCAGCAACGCCGCGUGGAGGAUGAAGUCCUUCGGGACGUAAACUCCUUUCGAUCGGGACGAUAAUGACGGUACCGGAAGAAGAAGCCCCGGCUAACUUCGUG
Molecule: ribosomal RNA, 447 nt
Filed under: uncultured bacterium
Lineage: Bacteria
Description: bacterial SSU rRNA
Rfam family: Bacterial small subunit ribosomal RNA
Source: RNAcentral